Molecule: ribosomal RNA, 484 nt
Filed under: uncultured bacterium
Lineage: Bacteria
Description: partial 16S ribosomal RNA
Rfam family: Bacterial small subunit ribosomal RNA
Source: RNAcentral
AUUGAACGCUGGCGGCAGGCCUAACACAUGCAAGUCGAGCGGAUGAAGGGAGCUUGCUCCUGGAUUCAGCGGCGGACGGGUGAGUAAUGCCUAGGAAUCUGCCUGGUAGUGGGGGAUAACGUCCGGAAACGGGCGCUAAUACCGCAUACGUCCUGAGGGAGAAAGUGGGGGAUCUUCGGACCUCACGCUAUCAGAUGAGCCUAGGUCGGAUUAGCUAGUUGGUGGGGUAAAGGCCUACCAAGGCGACGAUCCGUAACUGGUCUGAGAGGAUGAUCAGUCACAAUGGAACUGAGAAACGGUCCAGACUCCUACGGGAGGCAGCAGUGGGGAAUAUUGGACAAUGGGCGAAAGCCUGAUCCAGCCAUGCCGCGUGUGUGAAGAAGGUCUUCGGAUUGUAAAGCACUUUAAGUUGGGAGGAAGGGCAGUAAGUUAAUACCUUGCUGUUUUGACGUUACCAACAGAAUAAGCACCGGCUAACUUCGUG